GCAGUCGAACGGCAGCAUGAUCUAGCUUGCUAGAUUGAUGGCGAGUGGCGAACGGGUGAGUAAUACAUCGGAACGUGCCCUGUAGUGGGGGAUAACUAGUCGAAAGAUUAGCUAAUACCGCAUACGACCUGAGGGUGAAAGUGGGGGACCGCAAGGCCUCAUGCUAUAGGAGCGGCCGAUGUCUGAUUAGCUAGUUGGUGAGGUAAAGGCUCACCAAGGCGACGAUCAGUAGCUGGUCUGAGAGGACGAUCAGCCACACUGGGACUGAGACACGGCCCAGACUCCUACGGGAGGCAGCAGUGGGGAAUUUUGGACAAUGGGGGCAACCCUGAUCCAGCAAUGCCGCGUGUGUGAAGAAGGCCUUCGGGUUGUAAAGCACUUUUGUCCAGAAAGAAAUCGCACUUACUAAUAUUAGGUGUGGAUGACGGUACCGGAAGAAUAAGGACCGGCUAACUACGUGCCAGCAGCCGCGGUAAUACGUAGGGUCCAAGCGUUAAUCGGAAUUACUGGGCGUAAAGCGUACGCAGGCGGUUGUGCAAGACCGAUGUGAAAUCCCCGGGCUUAACCUGGGAAUUGCAUUGGUGACUGCACGGCUAGAGUGUGUCAGAGGGGGGUAGAAUUCCACGUGUAGCAGUGAAAUGCGUAGAGAUGUGGAGGAAUACCGAUGGCGAAGGCAGCCCCCUGGGAUAACACUGACGCUCAUGCACGAAAGCGUGGGGAGCAAACAGGAUUAGAUACCCUGGUAGUCCACGCCCUAAACGAUGUCAACUAGUUGUUGGGGAUUCAUUUCCUUAGUAACGUAGCUAACGCGUGAAGUUGACCGCCUGGGGAGUACGGUCGCAAGAUUAAAACUCAAAGGAAUUGACGGGGACCCGCACAAGCGAUGGAUGAUGUGGAUUAAUUCGAUGCAACGCGAAAAACCUUACCUACCCUUGACAUGCCACUAACGAAGCAGAGAUGCAUUAGGUGCUCGAAAGAGAAAGUGGACACAGGUGCUGCAUGGCUGUCGUCAGCUCGUGUCGUGAGAUGUUGGGUUAAGUCCCGCAACGAGCGCAACCCUUGUCUCUAGUUGCUACGAAAGGGCACUCUAGAGAGACUGCCGGUGACAAACCGGAGGAAGGUGGGGAUGACGUCAAGUCCUCAUGGCCCUUAUGGGUAGGGCUUCACACGUCAUACAAUGGUGCAUACAGAGGGUUGCCAAGCCGCGAGGUGGAGCUAAUCCCAGAAAAUGCAUCGUAGUCCGGAUCGUAGUCUGCAACUCGACUACGGAAGCUGGAAUCG
This 1281-nucleotide ribosomal RNA is filed under the name uncultured Ralstonia sp. Its description in RNAcentral is "bacterial SSU rRNA". It matches the Rfam family "Bacterial small subunit ribosomal RNA", at positions 57 to 1334 of the family's 1533-position model. Lineage: Bacteria; Pseudomonadati; Pseudomonadota; Betaproteobacteria; Burkholderiales; Burkholderiaceae. The record is from RNAcentral.